UACGAAGGGGGCUAGCGUUGUUCGGAAUUACUGGGCGUAAAGCGUGCGCAGGCGGCUUCUCAAGUCAGGGGUGAAAGCCCAGAGCUCAACUCUGGAAUUGCCUUUGAGACUGAGUGGCUUGAGUACGAGAGAGGUGAGUGGAAUUCCCAGUGUAGAGGUGAAAUUCGUAGAUAUGACAUAGAACACCAAUUGCGAAGGCAGCUUACUACGGAUGUAUUGACACUGAGGCACGAAAGCGUGGGGAUCAAACAGG
RNAcentral lists this ribosomal RNA (253 nucleotides) under uncultured bacterium. Its description in RNAcentral is "partial 16S ribosomal RNA". It matches the Rfam family "Bacterial small subunit ribosomal RNA", at positions 524 to 776 of the family's 1533-position model. The record is from RNAcentral.